AGACGGUUCAGUCAGAGGCAUUUCAAGCAAGGAAGCUGCUUUGGAGCACAUGAGGAUAAUUGGAAGAGUGAAAGAUCAAAGCAAAGCAGAAACAUCUGCUACAAGGUGAUAAUUCAGUGCUACUGGAGAAAAUCUCCUUUCUGGGAGAUUCUGGAGUUAUCUCAAAGGUGGUUUUAUUAUUAUUAUUAUUAUUAUUAUUAAUUAUUGUUAUUACUGAAGAGGAAAGGCUGAAUCUGGACUUCCCAGGUGUAUCUACAUUAGACCAAAUACUGUAAAUUCGAAGUGAGCCCAGUGCAACCUGCAAGCCUUUGGACAGGUGCAACGUCUUCUGUGGUGUCUUGCAUGGAGCCUGCAGCAAUGACAGUACAAUUAAUUACCACUAAUCAUGGUAACCCUGACAAUUCAAACACUGUGGAAGACUAACAUCAUCUCCGGAUUAAAGCUUCCCCUGCAGAAGGCUGUUUGUGAUUGUGUUUACCUGUCACCCCUGUUCUGUUUUCUCACUCCAUGGAAAUAUUAAUAUUCUCCCCAAAGGUGGGAAUGUGGUGGAGCAGGAGGGACGCCAAAGCUCCACUUCCCUCAAUAUCGCUGAGGGCACUGGGGGGAGAUGUUUGGCACUGACUUGUCCACUGGAACAUCACCAGGCUUGCUAGAAGAGGUGGUACUGAACUUUGAGCGUUUUUCCUCUGGUUUCAACCCAAACAGAGCUUGCCUUCUGCUUGCAUUGUUGCUGAAGUAUGUGUGGUGGGCUGUUUGAUGGUAAGCAGAUCACACGUUUUGGGGAAAAGCCAAGAAAAUAACAGUGGUUUCUUAUGGCCUCGUAAACUGCUGGGCUCCGACAUGUAUUUCCCAACCAGAGUAUU
Molecule: long non-coding RNA, 863 nt
Organism: Cygnus olor (mute swan)
Lineage: Eukaryota; Metazoa; Chordata; Aves; Anseriformes; Anatidae
Exons: 3
Source: RefSeq, a predicted model, not a curated record